AUCAGUCUCUGCCCGGCCCUAAUGGCCGCAGGUUCCAAUGUGUGUGCCAAUUUUCAAGAUUUUUCGAGUAUGUUAAGGGCCCCAAAAGCCCCCGAGACGUUGGAAAAAAAUAAUAAAUAUAGCUGCAAGCAGCGAUGGCGGGCUCAAGCCAUCAGCGCAAACGCCACCCCGGUGGCAUCAGGUAAACUGUGCCCAGCGGGCACAUGCAUUUACAGUAAUCCUCUGGCACUCAGGUUUUAAGGGAUACGGCAAUUAACGGGUUAAUCCGAAGCAUCAAGACUUUGAAAUCACAUACACAGAACAAUAUUCAUUAAGAAAGUGAAAUUAAAUGAUUAAUAAACUAUUUAUUCGAACCCUUGCUAUUUUCUAUUCUAAUA
Cyprinus carpio carpio is the source of this 377-nucleotide long non-coding RNA. Lineage: Eukaryota; Metazoa; Chordata; Actinopteri; Cypriniformes; Cyprinidae. The record is from Ensembl.